Long non-coding RNA from Vigna angularis (adzuki bean), 471 nucleotides. RefSeq lists it as uncharacterized. Lineage: Eukaryota; Viridiplantae; Streptophyta; Magnoliopsida; Fabales; Fabaceae. The record is from RefSeq and is a predicted model, not a curated record. The transcript is spliced from 2 exons.
UUGAUAUUGAUUUUCCUUAAAACGUCACAGAAAGAACAUAUAAACAAAAUUUGGAGCUAGGGUGAGUUAUGGGAAAAAACACAAUGAAAACUCAGAGGGUUGCAAUUCUGAUGAUGAUUAUGUUGGGUUUUGUACAAAUUCUAGAAACUGAGGGAAACAUCCCAUGUCCUAUUUCAUGUGGCUUUGAGUGUUUGAUUUCUUCUCAACCCUAUGGCCUGUGUUGGGUUCCGUGUGUUAUAAAAUGUUCAAUAACUCCAGCUGCUUUAGAUUGUGUUAAGGGUUGUGGCGUCAACAAGACCAUCACCAUUGAUAUUGAUGCUGCUGGUAAGGUAUCUAAUGUGGUUGAUUCUUGCUUGCAAAAGUGUUCCAAGUUACAGAAAUAAUAAUUGUAAGACAAUUCAAGAGCAAGACUAGAAUGUCUCUCUUUGAUAAUUUCAAUAAAAAAGUAUGAAACAAAAAAUAUUUUAUUUU